GCCUGGCUGGUUCAGUUGGUAGAGCAUGCAACUCCUGAUUUGGGGGUUGUGGGUUUGAACCCCAUGUUGGGUA
RNAcentral lists this transfer RNA (73 nucleotides) under Canis lupus familiaris (dog). It matches the Rfam family "tRNA". From Rfam's summary of the family: Transfer RNA (tRNA) molecules are approximately 80 nucleotides in length. The record is from Rfam by way of RNAcentral. RNAcentral also lists the same sequence under 1 other name. Lineage: Eukaryota; Metazoa; Chordata; Mammalia; Carnivora; Canidae.